This 497-nucleotide ribosomal RNA is filed under the name Ailanthus fordii. RNAcentral's name for it is "eukaryotic LSU rRNA". The stretch from base 5 to 160 matches the Rfam family "5.8S ribosomal RNA". The record is from RNAcentral. Lineage: Eukaryota; Viridiplantae; Streptophyta; Magnoliopsida; Sapindales; Simaroubaceae. RNAcentral also lists the same sequence under 1 other name.
UAACGACUCUCGGCAAUGGAUAUCUCGGCUCUCGCAUCGAUGAAGAACGUAGCGAAAUGCGAUACUUGGUGUGAAUUGCAGAAUCCCGUGAACCAUCGAGUCUUUGAACGCAAGUUGCGCCCCAAGCCGUCAGGCCGAGGGCACGUCUGCCUGGGUGUCACGCAUCGUCGCCCCCCGCGCCCCCCUCCUCCCCUCGAGGAGCGGGCGCGAUCCGGGGGGCGGAUACUGGCCUCCCGUGCGCUCCCCGCUAGCGGUUGGCCCAAAAUUCGAGUCCUCGGCGACGGUCGCCGCGACGAUCGGUGGCGAAACUUCCGUUGAGUUCCCGUCGUGAGCGGCCGUACCCGGAGACGGGCUCGCCGGACCCCGACGCGCUUUGCGCACGCUUUGCGACCCCAGGUCAGGCGGGACUACCCGCUGAGUUUAAGCAUAUCAAUAAGCGGAGGAAAAGAAACUUACCAGGAUUCCCCUAGUAACGGCGAGCGAACCGGGAAGAGCCC